GUGCUCACUUCUACAGCACAUAUACUAAAAUUGGACAAUACAGAGAAGAUUAGCAUGGCCCCUGUGCAAGGAUGACGCACAAAUUCGUGAAAUGUUCCGUAUUUUU
Molecule: small nuclear RNA, 106 nt
Filed under: Castor canadensis (American beaver)
Lineage: Eukaryota; Metazoa; Chordata; Mammalia; Rodentia; Castoridae
Source: RNAcentral